Molecule: transfer RNA, 65 nt
Filed under: Salmonella enterica subsp. enterica serovar Infantis
Lineage: Bacteria; Pseudomonadati; Pseudomonadota; Gammaproteobacteria; Enterobacterales; Enterobacteriaceae
Also listed under: 7 other names
Description: tRNA-Asp
Rfam family: tRNA
About the family: Transfer RNA (tRNA) molecules are approximately 80 nucleotides in length.
Source: RNAcentral
CGGUAGUUCAGUUGGUUAGAAUACCUGCCUGUCACGCAGGGGGUCGCGGGUUCGAGUCCCGUCCG